This 529-nucleotide ribosomal RNA is filed under the name uncultured bacterium. RNAcentral describes it as "bacterial SSU rRNA". It matches the Rfam family "Bacterial small subunit ribosomal RNA", at positions 8 to 526 of the family's 1533-position model. The record is from RNAcentral.
AGAGUUUGAUCCUGGCUCAGGAUGAACGCUAGCGGCAGGCUUAAUACAUGCAAGUCGUGGGGCAGCAUGAGUGUAGCAAUACAUUUGAUGGCGACCGGCAAACGGGUGCGGAACACGUACACAACCUUCCUUUAAGUGGGGGAUAGCCCAGGGAAACUUGGAUUAAUACCCCGUAAUAUAUAGAAGCGGCGUCGCUUUUAUAUUAUAGCAGCAAUGCGCUUAAAGAUGGGUGUGCGGCUGAUUAGAUAGUUGGCGGGGUAACGGCCCACCAAGUCGACGAUCAGUAACUGGUGUGAGAGCACGACCAGUCACACGGGCACUGAGACACGGGCCCGACUCCUACGGGAGGCAGCAGUAAGGAAUAUUGGUCAAUGGACGCAAGUCUGAACCAGCCAUGCCGCGUGGAGGAUGAAGGCCCUCUGGGUUGUAAACUUCUUUUAUAUGGGACGAAAAAGGGACUUUCUAGUCCAACUGACGGUACCAUGUGAAUAAGCACCGGCUAACUCCGUGCCAGCCGCCGCGGUAAUAC